Molecule: long non-coding RNA, 1875 nt
Organism: Anolis carolinensis (green anole)
Lineage: Eukaryota; Metazoa; Chordata; Lepidosauria; Squamata; Anolidae
Exons: 2
Source: RefSeq, a predicted model, not a curated record
CAGAGCUUCCUCUCGCAGCUGAUUGAGAAGAAAUAUCUUGCUGCUGAGUUGCUGUCUACAACCAUCUUUUUCUACUUCUGACAUCUAGAAUCAAACGUUAUGUAAGAGCUUCCUGCCGGUCGUGGUUUGUCACCGGGCGUCCCUCAAGAUCUUGCAAGGUCCUCAAAUGGAAAAUUGUAUAAAGACGGUAAUGCGGUAAGUUUGCAACAGGGUUGUCUGCCAGGAACAGAGAAGUCAAAUCCUUUAGAGGCUUCAGUUUAGCAACCUCGUGGAGCUGGGAAAGAAAAAAAUGUAAAAAAAUUGGUAUUUUCCCGAUGCCGGACAUAGAUGUGGGCAAAAUGUCAGGAAAGAAUGCUACUGGAAUAUGGCCAUACAGCCUGAAAAUGUCACAGCAACCCAGUGAUUCUGGCCACGAAAGCCUUUAACAACACAAAAAAACUUACUGAUGAUAUUUUGUUUUUUUUCAGAUUUAGGAUCCGCAGAGACCGGAGUUUUUUAUUCAGCCAUGCAGGGAUUCGCUCAAUCUCAUUCCCAGCCAGAUUCAGUUUCUGCAGGUUGUGUAGGUGCUCAAUGCCUUCAAUUUUACUAGAAAACAACAACAAAUAGUAGAAUGAGACAUCAUGAAAUGGGCAGAAAUUUAGUUUCAGUGGCGACAGAGAUAUGGGUUAAAACAGGAUAUUCUCGACUUUAAAUAAUGGAAGUUGUCAUAUGCAGCAAAAAAAGAACAAGAUUUGUAUCCAGUGCCAUUUUCAUUUCUCUUUUUGACAGCUAUUGCUCUUUCUUCAUCCCUCACAAUGUAUGUCUGCUUUGGGAAUUCUAAGGUGCAAUAUUCUGAUACAGAAACACUCACAAUAUUAUUUCUUUCUAUUUUUUUGCUCAUUUCCCCCUUUGCUUACCUUAUUUUGUUGUAAGACACAUUGAGGUCACUUAGUUUCAAAAGUCUGUCCAGUUUUUCAAUCUUCUCAAUCAGAUUGUGACUCAGAUUGAGGGUCUCUAAUUUAUCACACUUCUCCAGAUUUUCUAUGUACUAAAACACAAAAACAAACCAAGACUGUGAACCUCAGGAAGAAGACAGAAGGCUACAAUACAUACAAUUUACAUACAAUAUAUUAUUAACAUAGCACAAUAUAAGCAUUAUAUAUUGCUAUAUUGUACUAUAACAAUAUAUUGUAAUAUUAUUAGUAAAAUUAUAUGUAAUAUAAAUAUAGUUAUAAUAGUGUAUUAUUAUUAUAUUGUAUUACAUGAUAAUAUUAUUAAUAUUAUAUGCAUAUACAAUAUAUUAUAUUAUUUGUAUAUUGUAAUAUGAGUAUUAUAUAUUACUAGCUGUGCCCAGCCACGCGUUGCUGUGGCGUUGGUGAGAAAUUUUUGAGGUAGUGGUGGUACUGAAUGUCUGUUGUAUGGUUGUCUUUAUGUUUAGUAUGCACACUGAAGUGGAUUAUAUGGCAGUGUGGAGUCAAGAUAAUCCAGUUCAAAGCAGAUAAUAUAAGAUUCUAAAUAGGUUAUAUAGCUGUGUGGAAGGGGCUUGAGUCUACAUUGCCAUAUAAUCCAGUUAAAAUCGGAUAAUCUGUGGAAGAGGCCUAAGUGAGGCCUAACUGUGCCUGUCCCCUGGGCUGAGUAGGUUGCUAGGAGACCAAGUGGGUGGAGCUUAGCCUUCAAACUGGCAGCAAUUGGAUAAAAACUAUUAUUCCUCUCCCUGUAAUUAGGACUUUAUUUUUCUUUUCCUUUUUGUUGUAUCAACCUAGAGCCAUGGAUGAUGGGUUGUGUUUUGUCAAAUUUCGAGGUUGGGGGGCCUGUAGUUUUGUUGUUUUGUCCGCUGCCCUGAUGCCAUCACUCUUUUAUAUAUAUAGAUGAUAUUAUUAUAAUUGACUCAGCAGA